GAGUUCCCUUCGGGGACAUUGGUGACAGGUGGUGCAUGGUUGUCGUCAGCUCGUGUCGUGAGAUGUUGGGUUAAGUCCCGCAACGAGCGCAACCCUUGUCUUUAGUUGCCAUCAUUAAGUUGGGCACUCUAGAGAGACUGCCAGGGAUAACCUGGAGGAAGGUGGGGAUGACGUCAAAUCAUCAUGCCCCUUAUGCUUAGGGCUACACACGUGCUACAAUGGGUAGUACA
This 230-nucleotide ribosomal RNA is filed under the name Clostridioides difficile. RNAcentral describes it as "partial 16S ribosomal RNA". It matches the Rfam family "Bacterial small subunit ribosomal RNA", at positions 1011 to 1241 of the family's 1533-position model. The record is from RNAcentral. Lineage: Bacteria; Bacillati; Bacillota; Clostridia; Peptostreptococcales; Peptostreptococcaceae.